Molecule: ribosomal RNA, 252 nt
Filed under: uncultured bacterium
Lineage: Bacteria
Description: partial 16S ribosomal RNA
Rfam family: Bacterial small subunit ribosomal RNA
Source: RNAcentral
UACGUAGGUGGCAAGCGUUAUCCGGAUUUAUUGGGCGUAAAGGGAACGCAGGCGGUCUUUUAAGUCUGAUGUGAAAGCCUUCGGCUUAACCGGAGUAGUGCAUUGAAACUGGGAGACUUGAGUGCAGAGGAGGAGAGUGGAACUCCAUGUGUAGCGGUGAAAUGCGUAGAUAUAUGGAAGAACACCAGUGGCGAAAGCGGCUCUCUGGUCUGUAACUGACGCUGAGGUUCGAAAGCGUGGGUAGCAAACAGG